Molecule: long non-coding RNA, 2292 nt
Filed under: Chelonus insularis
Lineage: Eukaryota; Metazoa; Arthropoda; Insecta; Hymenoptera; Braconidae
Description: uncharacterized LOC118070386, transcript variant X3
Source: RNAcentral
UUAGUUAUUUCAAAGCCGCGCUGAUUUUAUUCAUUAUAAUUGGUUCAUCAUCGAGACUUUACUGCUCUUUGUGCAAGUUUCAUCAAGUUUAUUUGAGCCAGUAUCGUGACAACACUGUGUGCUAUUCUACUCAUUCACGAACAAGUGAAACUCCAGCUAUUUAUUACACGCCUCACAAAGCCUUGGAUUCGGGAGAAGCAGUCAAGGCUUAUGGGAAGUUGCAGUUUCAUAAUGAUUAUUUAAUUCGUGAGCGGAAUAUUAGAAAAGGAAAACUAAAGCUUCUAGCUCGAAGUGCUGAUGAAGAUGAAGAGAAUAUACCAAUUUCGAAUAAAGAAAGUGAAAAUUUGGAAUUUUUAAAGAAAUACAUUGAACCGUGGGAUCAUGUUGGAAAACUUUGGAAGCUAACGUUCCAUGAAAGACAAACUUUAUUUGUGACAUUAACAAUUGCAGAAUAUUAUUAUCUUUUUCCUUGUUUGAAACAAGAAAAAGGAUAUUUGUUGAAUUGGAUUUUGAUGUAAAAUAUCCUAAAAAGAAAAACGCUUUUUCAACUAAGUGGCCAAAAGUACGAGAUCAACUUGUGAAGUUAUUUCGAAGUCACAGACAAACCAUAGAUUUAUGUUUUGCAGCAGAAGCAAAAAAACUGCAUUAACUUAGUGAAGACGCUUUAGAUUCAGUGGCGCUGAUACUACUCUCAAAUGCGUUUCCUGAACCAUCAUUCUUAUUCAAAAAUACUGGCUCUAAGAAUAAAAAAAGAAGUAAAAAGUUAAAAACUACAAAUUCUUCGACAGAAGCGAAUGAAGUACUUAAAAAAUGAAAUCCGUCUAAAGCAGAAUCACGUGGAGGCUUCAUUCUUCAUGUGAAUGCAGAAAAUGAUGCACUCCCGAGCAUUAGUCGUCUCUCAAAUACACUAGCGACAUAUGAAUUACAAUUACAACCUAGAUCCAUCAUUUCUGGAGCUAUUGAUGAUGUCAUUGCUGCCCAUAUUUUUGUGAAUAAAACGCAAUACGAUUUGGAAUCAACAAUUCGAGCAGUUGCGGUUUGCUUUAAAAUAUAUUUCGUUUUACACGCAUUUUAUCCACCUGAAGCCAAAUCAGCUUGGCUGUUUAUACAAAAAGCAGUAUUUGAUUUGAAAUCAUUACAUGAUGGUAAAAUUCCGACUGCAGUAUCGGAAUUUUUGGAUGAGAUCAAUGUAAACCUCAAUUAAAAUUUAUUUAGUUUUUCAAAAUUUUGCCAAGUUCUAAUUAUUUUAACUGGAGAAAAGACUAUUUUUUUUUCUUUCAAAGCGAGUGCGAAUUUAAACUCCAGUUGAUGAUAUUCGUAUAGUUCAUUAUGUUUAGUUUUGUAAUAUUUCAUCAUUUUUAUGAGCAGAUUUUAAUAUUGCUAUUGUGAUAAGAAUUCUAGAAUUUCAUUAAUAAUGUCAUUUAUCUGUAAGUGUUUAAAAACUUUCAAUAUUGGUGUUGCUUUCACUAAGCAUUGUCAUAACGAGCAUACACAAGACUAUUCAGCAAAUUGUUUUCAAUGCUUAGGUGCUUGUAGUCGUAAAUAUGAUAAGUUAGAUGUAUUUCGAAAGCAUUUGUGAAAAAAUCAUCAAUUUCAAUGUCAUUCUACUAAUUUACUCACAGUAAGUAAUGAAAAUAAUGCUGACCUUGAAAUCAACAUCAAAACAGAAAACAAUAUAAAUGUUAAUGACAAAGUAUUUCCGAGUAAUACAGCUAAAUUUCCAUAUAUGUCAAAUAUUUAAAAUGAUGUCAAUUCUAAUUAUAAAAAAUAUUCUAAGAACGUUGAACAAUUAUCAUUAAUCCAAAAUCAAGUAUCACAAGUCGAUGCUAGAUUAGCUAUUACGAAUUAUGUUUAUCAAUUAGCUGCUAAAUGGUACUCUGAUAAUAAUUUAUCUCGAAAAAACAUUCAAUCAAAUAUUGAGGAUGUUGGAAAUUUCUUUAUUGAUGCUACUAAUAUUUUAUCUGAUACUGUAAUAAGUUUAUUUAGUAAGAACAAUAUUCCUAUUUCAAUUCAAACAGAUGUACAAAAAAUAUUUUCUGAUAUUCAGAAACCAUUUAAUAAUGCAGUUAGUGAGUACAUAAGCUUGAAAAAAUUUCGUGAAUCUGGAAAUUUAAUAGCUCCAGAAAAUGUUCUUCUUGGCACUAUUUCUGGGUCUAGAAUGAUCAAUGGAUAAUCACAAAUAAUUGCUGAAGAAGUAUUUGUUCAAUUUAUUUCGAUAAGACAUGUUUUACGUAUUUUUUACGAACUGCCUAAUGUUUUUAAAAAAACCCUUCUUUACAUGAAAUAUGUUAA